UACGGGGGGUGCGAGCGUUGUCCGGAAUCACUGGGCGUAAAGGGCGCGUAGGCGGUUGGAUAAGUCUUGUGUGAAAUCUUCGGGCUCAACUCGAAGUCUGCACGAGAAACUAUCUGGCUUGAGUGUGGGAGAGGUGAGUGGAAUUCCUGGUGUAGCGGUGAAAUGCGUAGAUAUCAGGAGGAACACCUGUGGCGAAAGCGGCUCACUGGACCACAACUGACGCUGAGGCGCGAAAGCUAGGGGAGCAAACAGG
This 253-nucleotide ribosomal RNA is filed under the name uncultured bacterium. Its description in RNAcentral is "partial 16S ribosomal RNA". It matches the Rfam family "Bacterial small subunit ribosomal RNA", at positions 524 to 776 of the family's 1533-position model. The record is from RNAcentral.